GACGAACGCUGGCGGCGUGCUUAACACAUGCAAGUCGAACGAAGUGGCGAACGGGUGAGUAACGUGUAAUCAACCUCCCCUUCAGAGGGGGACAACAGUUGGAACAGACUGAUAAUACCGCAUACUGCUGGAGGUGAUUGCGUUUGAUGAGCUAGUUGGAGGGGUAACGGCCCACCAAGGCGAUGAUCAGUAGCCGGUCUGAGAGGAGGAACGGCCACAUUGGGACUGAGACACGGCCCAGACUCCUACGGGAGGCAGCAGGGGGGAAUCUUCCGCAAUGGACGAAAGUCUGACGGAGCAACGCCGCGUGAGUGAUGACGGCCUUCGGGUUGUAAAGCUCUGUUAAUCGGGACGCGGUACCUGAAUAGAAAGCCACGGCUAACUACGUGCCAGCAGCCGCGGUAAUUC
RNAcentral lists this ribosomal RNA (408 nucleotides) under uncultured bacterium. RNAcentral's name for it is "partial 16S ribosomal RNA". It matches the Rfam family "Bacterial small subunit ribosomal RNA", at positions 28 to 526 of the family's 1533-position model. The record is from RNAcentral.